GGUGAGUAACACGUGGGUUAUCUGCCCUGCACUUCGGGAUAAGCUUGGGAAACUGGGUCUAAUACCGGAUAGGACCGCACUUUAGUGUGUGUGGUGGAAAGUUUUUUCGGUGUAGGAUGAGCUCGCGGCCUAUCAGCUUGUUGGUGGGGUAAUGGCCUACCAAGGCGGCGACGGGUAGCCGGCCUGAGAGGGUGUACGGCCACAUUGGGACUGAGAUACGGCCCAG
This 226-nucleotide ribosomal RNA is filed under the name uncultured Actinomycetales bacterium. RNAcentral describes it as "partial 16S ribosomal RNA". It matches the Rfam family "Bacterial small subunit ribosomal RNA", at positions 105 to 334 of the family's 1533-position model. The record is from RNAcentral. Lineage: Bacteria; Bacillati; Actinomycetota; Actinomycetes; Actinomycetales.